GUCCUACGGGACGCAGCAGUGGGGAAUAUUGCACAAUGGGGGAAACCCUGAUGCAGCGAUGCCGCGUGGAGGAAGAAGGUUUUCGGAUUGUAAACUCCUUUUAUCAGGGACGAUAAUGACGGUACCUGAAGAAAAAGCUCCGGCUAACUACGUGCCAGCAGCCGCGGUAAUACGUAGGGAGCGAGCGUUGUCCGGAAUAACUGGGCGUAAAGGAUGCGUAGGCGGUUAAACAAGUUAUAUGUUAAAUAUAUAGGCUUAACCUGUAGAAAGCAUAUAAAACUGUUUAACUAGAGUGCAGGAGAGGG
Molecule: ribosomal RNA, 305 nt
Filed under: uncultured bacterium
Lineage: Bacteria
Description: bacterial SSU rRNA
Rfam family: Bacterial small subunit ribosomal RNA
Source: RNAcentral